Molecule: long non-coding RNA, 815 nt
Organism: Oreochromis aureus
Lineage: Eukaryota; Metazoa; Chordata; Actinopteri; Cichliformes; Cichlidae
Exons: 3
Source: RefSeq, a predicted model, not a curated record
GCCUCUACAAGUGUGACAUCAGCGGUCAUGGAGAGUCUCCAUCCAGCUGGAUCACUGUCACAGAAAAACAUAUAACCACGCCCCCUGACUCGUCCUUACUCCACUUUGUGAUUAGACUGCUCUUCCACCUGGUGAUGUUCUGUCCAUAUGUCAUCUCCACUCUCCUCAUGGUGUCUUUGUAUCGAAAGACAGCUAAAGGAAAAAUCUUCCGUGUCUCAAUCCUGCCCAUUCAGCCUGAGCAGGGACUGGACGAUGAGCAUUACGAUGUCAUCUCUGAUGUCACCACAGAGUAUCACUUCUGAAUCAGAGCUCUGUUGCUUCUCUUUAGGUCUCACUAACUUUGUCCUCUCCACCUCUGUUGUGAAUCUUAUCUGAAUAAAAGGACUCUGAUGUUCAUCUCUGGAUAUUUUUAUGUAGAUAAACAGCAAAUGUUCCCAAGAAAAUCUACUGGAGCUCUCAAUAGAAAUUAUAUUGACUUAUGAUUUUAUGCCCCACACUCAGUCACUACAACCAAUUUUAGAGUUUCUCCACCUGCUGAACCCACUUUAACCUCUGACUGUGCACAUUUUACUGUUUGCAGGAAAAGUCAUCGUCUACAAUGACUGAAAAUAGAGCUAAUUUCGACUUUCUUACUUUGAGUACAUCUCAGAGCCUGCACUUUUCUACUUAUACUUGAGUGAGGAACUUGAAUCAGUACUUCAACUUUUACUGGAGUAUUUUUUUACAGUAGUGUUUGUAUUUGUACUUAAGGACAGAAUGUCUGAACUUUUGCCAACUCUGCUUGCUCUGCCUCCUUCGCGAUCAUCAGUUUGAAC